GCAUGCGUAAGACUAGCAGAACACUUUUUAACAUAUAAUAUCUGAAAUUUAUGCAAAAUGUUCAUAAAAUAAUGUCGUGACACGUAUAAUUCCGUGCUGCUUCCGUUGAUUAGCUCGAAAGUGGACUCGAGUAACGUUUCCAUCUCUGAGAGAGGAAAAAAGAAGAGUUAAAAGGGUACACUCGCAGAUCCGCGGAAGCAACAUGUCCGCCCUCCGAUUGGCGUCCUCGCUGAUCUUUUGUUUACCAAGAAUUCUUGCGAGAGCGAAACCUUAAGAUGCCGGAGAAUUAACAACUCGAUAAUGACCAGUGCCGUGAAUAUACUAUCCCAUUGUCCCAACGAAUGAUGACGGAGCCGGAACUUUGCCGGCUGUGUGCCGAAACCAAAGAUACUUUCAUUGGGAUUUACGACGCCGAGGGCCAAAAGUUGGGGAUUGAGAGCAAAAUUGCUAAGUGUUUGCAAAUCCAGGUUGUUAUCACUGAUGGUUUACCGUUGUCGAUAUGCAUCGAUUGUUGCACCGUCUUAAAUCAAUGCAGUGAAUUCUAUGAGAAAACAAAUCAAGCGCAAGAUUCACUCCGCCAAUUAUUAAUAGACCCAAAGUCUGAACCGUCGCAAUUAGAGCCGAACCUAGACUAUGUGGAAAAAUCCAUAGAAUUUCCCAAAGAAGAAGUCACCGAGGGAAUUGUGAAUUGUCAUUUGCCUGAUAACUAUGUUAGCGAUUCGGUGAAUGAUAUUAGCGAUACUUACUUUAAUGAUGACAAUAAUGAAAGCGAUCCUGCCAAAUAUAAGAUAGAGGAAAUGCAGGAAGUUGUUAAAGAAAAGUCAUGUAAAACCUCGGAAAAGAAGAACUUGCCUAAGCAAACCAGAAGGAGACUGAAAAAGAAAACACAAGCACAAAAAAUGGAGGACUUGGAGUUGGACUUAACAUCUAAGUUGGAAGAAGAACAGGAUGACACGGAAAGUUUGAAAGUUAACAUAAAAAUUCCGGAGAAUUAUAUGACAGGUACCGAGUCAGACAUGAAAAUAAUAGAGGCUCGAGCUGCAGAACCUCCUAAACCUGGACGCAAGAGAGCAAAGGAUCUUGUUCGAUAUCCUUGGCUUUGUACCGAUUGCAAUGAUAAACUACCAAGUUUAGAAGCAUUAGAGGAACAUCAUGAAACAAUACAUAAUCAACAAGCAAAAUACAUGUGUGUUCAGUGUUGUAAAGUUUAUGAUAAGUACUAUGGAUUUCUUACACAUGUCAAACGGCAUAAAAACAAAUCAAAAUUCAAUUGUGAGGAUUGUGGAAAGUCCUUUGUUCACAAAAAGGUUUUAGAUUCACAUAAAAUCGUUCACAGUGAAGAGCGCCCACAUGUUUGUCAAACGUGUGGAAAAGCAUUUAGACAACAAAGUGCUUUGUAUAUACACAGUCGAUGUCAUUUACCAGAGACCAUGAAGAAUCGAUUUCCCUGUGAUCAAUGUGACAAAAGAUUUUCGACAAAACCUAAUCUAGUUACACAUAAACGUAUUCAUUCUGGCGUUAGAAAUUUUACCUGCGACCAAUGUGGUAAAAGUUUUAUACAGAAGGGAAAUUUGGAGGCUCAUUUCUUAACGCAUUCAGCUGAUAAGCCUUAUAGCUGUUCGCAAUGUUCGAAAGCAUUUAAGACACCAUUGCAAUUGAAAAAACAUGAAACAGUCCAUACGGGUGCUAAGCCACAUCAAUGUGCUGUAUGUGGACGCACAUUUAGAGAGAAGGGAACCUUGAGAGAACAUCAUAGAAUUCACACAGGAGCUAUGCCAUUUACGUGUGAAUUCUGUGGAAAGUGCUUCCGCUUCAAAGGAAUUUUAACAACACACAGGAGACAACAUACUGGUGAACGGCCAUACAGCUGCUUAGAGUGCCAGCAUCAUUUUACUAAUUGGCCGAAUUACAAUAAGCACAUGAAACGCAGACACGGAAUUAAUACAUCACAUACCAAACAUUUGCAACAAUCCCAACCGAUUCAGCAACAACAGCCACAGCCGAAUGCACAAGAAAGUCGUCCGGUUGCUGUAUCACAUACAACUCCAACAACGGUCCAAGUAAUCCAAACUGUGCCACAUGCAACAGUUGCCCAACCAAUUGUUGUGCAAACUAUUCCUACCACAGCUAUUCAAACUUUUCAGACGGACAUUCCAGUCACUGUUCAAGACACAGUGUUUCGAGAGCGAAACACUACAUACUUUAAUGCUGUCCCAGCUGCGUUGCAAAAUUUUUUACCCCCAAAUUUGCCAUAUAAUUUUUACAAUAUCUCAAACGUGACGGAGAAUGAUUUAAUUCAGCACAGAUAAGGUUAAGAGAGCAGUACUCUUUCAGAGACGAGUGAAAGGCGAAGGAUCGAAAGAUUGUUCAAAAGUGAACUUUUAUCUUCCAAAAACAGCUUUUGUGGAAAGAUAAUCGUGGAGAAGACGAUAUCCUGUACAAGAUGCGUCGUCCCAGGAUGUCUAUCGAAAAAACCAUUUAAAUCCAGCCAUCGCUUCCCAACGAAUCCAGAGAUGUUGAAGACCUGGCUGGAAGCUAUCGGAAAUGAAGCUUUGAAGAAUAUCGAGGGGA
This 2571-nucleotide unclassified non-coding RNA is filed under the name Orussus abietinus. Its description in RNAcentral is "zinc finger protein 583, transcript variant X1". Lineage: Eukaryota; Metazoa; Arthropoda; Insecta; Hymenoptera; Orussidae. The record is from RNAcentral.